GGAUUAGAUACCCGGGUAGUCCACGCCGUAAACGAUGAGUGCUAGGUGUCGGAGGGGUCCACCCUGCGGUGCCGAAGUUAACACAUUAAGCACUCCGCCUGGGGAGUACGGUCGCAAGACUGAAACUCAAAGGAAUUGACGGGGACCCGCACAAGCAGUGGAGUAUGUGGUUUAAUUCGAAGCAACGCGAAGAACCUUACCAGGUCUUGACAUCCCUCUGAUCGGUGCAGAGAUGUACCUUUCCUUCGGGACAGAGGAGACAGGUGGUGCAUGGUUGUCGUCAGCUCGUGUCGUGAGAUGUUGGGUUAAGUCCCG
This 315-nucleotide ribosomal RNA is filed under the name uncultured bacterium. RNAcentral's name for it is "bacterial SSU rRNA". It matches the Rfam family "Bacterial small subunit ribosomal RNA", at positions 775 to 1089 of the family's 1533-position model. The record is from RNAcentral.